UACGGAGGGUGCGAGCGUUGUCCGGAAUCACUGGGCGUAAAGGGCGCGUAGGCGGCUUGGGAAGUCCGUGGUGAAAGCCCGAGGCUCAACUUCGGGUCGGCCAUGGAUACUCCUAAGCUCGAGUCGACUAGAGGCUAAUGGAAUUCCGGGUGUAGCGGUGGAAUGCGUAGAGAUCCGGAAGAACACCGGUGGCGAAGGCGGUUAGCUGGGGUCGGACUGACGCUGAGGCGCGACAGCGCGGGGAGCAAACAGG
This 253-nucleotide ribosomal RNA is filed under the name uncultured bacterium. RNAcentral's name for it is "partial 16S ribosomal RNA". It matches the Rfam family "Bacterial small subunit ribosomal RNA", at positions 524 to 776 of the family's 1533-position model. The record is from RNAcentral.